Sparus aurata (gilthead seabream) is the source of this 2853-nucleotide long non-coding RNA. NCBI's taxonomy places the organism in Eukaryota, Metazoa, Chordata, Actinopteri, Spariformes, Sparidae. The record is from Ensembl.
CUUUAAUGCUGCAGCAACACACUGCUAUGUCAAAUUAAUCUGAUGGACUAUUUACUGUAAAAUCUUAGUUCAGCACAGUAAUUUGUGUUUAAGAAGCUAUGUUUUCUUUUAUAUAAAGGCUGGUGUGUGUUUCUUUAAGACUCAGAGUUGAACGUGAAAGUAUUUAUUCAGCUCGGUUUACUUGUUACUUGAACUCACUCACACACUUGUGUAACUGGCAAGAGCUGAAGAGCCCAGCAGACGCUCACAGAUCUAUGCAGAUGUACAAUGGGGUCGUUUUUAUCGCAUUCAGGAGAACAAUCUACAGUAGUGUCACACACAGAAGUGUCUGCAGAGGUCGAGUCCACAGAGAGGGUUAUGAAGGUCAAAGUUCGUGAGUGUGGGACAGAGAGGACCAUCGUCCUGAGUGUCACUGAGGAGCAGUUAAAGAGGAUCACAGUGCUGCAGCUGAAGAAGAAGAUACAAUCUGUCUUCAGCAUCGCAGUGCGUACACUGUCGAUCGGUUUCUGGCCGCUGUGGGACGAUGAGCUGCUGACUGACCGUGGAAUCAAAGAUGGAUCAACCGUUGAGUUGAACGGACCCGUAUAUGAAUGUGGUCGUGUAAGUAGUGGAAUGGGUGACAGGGAUGGCAGAAACCAGAGUAUGGACUGCGUGGCUAUAAUGUUAACAGGAAGUGAUGUCAGCAGUGAGUCAGCACCACAUCCUCAACCAGCAGCAUUCGAAGAUCUCCACAAGGAUUCAUGCUGAGGACUUCAGACAGCAAAACAAGUCACACAGGUGGACAGAUCAGUGUUUUCUACAUCACAUUAACAGUCUAACUGGUACAAUGACUGGAGUAAAUCAGCUCCACUGAGUCUUAAAGAAGGCUCAUGUUAUCCUGCUCUGUCCUCACCAUGACUUAUUAUCAUCUGGGGACACAAAGACACAUUUGGACUCGUCGUAACAUUUCAGAUAUUUGUCUAAAAUCAUCCGUUGUACAAAGCUGUCCACGUCUUCACUCUUUUACUCAGAACUAAUGUGACAAAUUUAAAUGUGUCAUCAUAUAUGUAGGUAAAGGGUCAGCUGUUUUAAUACCAGUGUUGGUCAAGUUACUUUCAAGAUGCAAAAUGUUAAAUAUUAUUAGUUACUGUAGUUUCUGGGUUUCUCUUCUCAAAGGUGUCGGCGUGUAGUUUGAUCAUAAAUGAUUCUGCGGAAGCAAGGCUGGGUGGAAGGAUGAAGCAAUCUGUAUUAAAACAGAAUCUAGCGCCUUGAGUCCGGAUCAGAAGCAGCUGCAUUCUGAUAUUAUCAAUUCUGUGGACAAAACAAUGCCAAUAUGCUUUGCCCUCUGCCCCAUCAAACCUCCGCCUUUGCUCUUAGGAGGUUUUCCAAGUGCCACCCUCCCAUCUCUACUCGUAGGGGCCUUCUUAAAGUCCCUUGGGCUGUACCUGCCUACUCCUAAUUGGUCACUGUGGUGGGUUGAGGGUCCAUCAAUCCAAUCGACAUGAAAAGGAGGUGGUUUAUCUCCCUGCUCAUUUAUCUCCCUGCUCAUUUCCCAGUGGAAAUUCGUCAAAGACGAAUUUCCACUGCUUUUUGCAGGGGACAAUAAAGUUUUUUCUGAUUCUGAUUCUGAUAAAUGGCUAAAUCUGUUACUGUCCCUCCUUGGGUCUUGUACUCCAAAAUUACCUAAAUGAUCUCUCUAUCCUUUUCUGGAGAUGUACACGUUUAGAUAUCUUCCUCCACCUGACAUAGGAGUCAGGCUCUGUUUUAGUCCCUAUAGUGGCCUUGUCUCUUGCUAACCUUUGACCCACACACAGCUGAAUGCUGCCUCCAGGUCCCUUGGAGCUGUGAGCCCCAUAUUGUCUACAUUCCUUAGCUUACACAAGGAGGAGCAGGUUAAAUUUAAACUGAGUUGAAUCAAAGGCCAGAAUGUGUUGCAGUCCAGACACCUCAUUACCUUCAUUUUAAACUAAUAUAUCACGCCACAAUGUUACAGGCCUACCACAUACGGCUCAUUUCAGUCACACAGAGACUGAACAAAUAUGUUACAGGCUGGUUUAUAUUAAACACACAGAGCCUUUAUUCAUGUGGUCGUGUUGGUGUGGAUGCAGUUCUUAAAAAACAACCAAGAUGGCUUCACUUCAGUUGGUCUCUAUAUAUACUAUAUCUACCCCAUAUAUUAACCUAAGUAUAAAACUGUUUUAAUACUGAGGUUUAAAAGUGUAUUGAGUGAUUCCUAGGAGAGUUUGUGGAUUGUGUGGGUUAGUUUGCCAACAACUGAAAGCAUUAAUAUUUAACAAUCAACUAUUUUGUCUGCAUGGACAGCUCUGCUAUCAAAUCAUAGAGAGAAGCUCAGAUCACUUCUGGAUUCCAGUUGGAUGACUAAAAGGACUAAAAUCUUCCAUUGUGCCUUUGAAACUGGACCUGAGUGAUUUAUAAUAAUAUGAUUGUUACAGAAUCAUUUUUAUUCUGAUUGUUUGAGGAUGAUCAGUCUUGAGCUGUACUGUGUUUCAUGACAUUUAUUUGUUUUUUCUUCUACUGUUACUCUGACUGAUGUGUGACCGACUGAUGUGGCUGCAAACUUUUAACCAGCACACACAAAUUAUGUGUAAUAACCUUUAAACAGCCAGUCUAUCAUUCUCUCUACUGGAUCAUGAGCAUGUCAGGAGCAGUGGGGUGAAGCAGCUCGCAAACUUUCAAAUGUGUCUCUAAAUCUCUGACUCUGAAAGAGUGUCGGAAAGACGUUUGUGUUGAGAAAUGUGUGUGAAAACUUUGCUUGUUUGACGUCACUUAUUUCAGUAUUCACAGUGAACACAUGACAAUGACUGUAACACUGGCAGGAUCGAACAUUUUUCACAUGACUAUAUGUAUAUUUGA